CUUUACAAAAUACCUGAGACAAUCAAGAAAGAAAAAUAAUGCUCCAUCUCACCCCUAUCACCAUCCCAGAUAAAGAGAAACUUUCCCUUGGAGCAAAGGAGAACAAAGAGAGGGAAGGAGUAAUUGCAUCCUGCAUCCAGCUUUCAGGUAGAGGAGUCCAUGCAGGGA
This is an unclassified non-coding RNA of Ictidomys tridecemlineatus (thirteen-lined ground squirrel), 168 nucleotides long. The record is from Ensembl. Lineage: Eukaryota; Metazoa; Chordata; Mammalia; Rodentia; Sciuridae.